CCUACGGGAGUCAGCAGUGGUGAAUAUUGCACCAUGGGGGAAACCCUGAUGCAGCGAUGCCGCGUGGAGGAAGCAGGUUUUCGGAUUGUAAACUCCUUUUAUCAGGGACGAUAAUGACGGUACCCCAAUAGCAAGCCACGGCUAACUACGUGCCAGCAGCCGCGGUAAUACGUAGGUGGCAAGCGUUAUCCGGAAUGACUGGGCGUAAAGGGUGCGGAGGUGGUUUAGUAAGUUGGCGGUGUAAUUCCGGGGCUCAAGCUCGGCGCUACCGCCAAAACUAUUAGACUAGAGUGCAGGAGGGGUAAGUGGAAUUCCUAGUGGAGCGGGGGAAAGAGUAGAUAUUAGGAGGAACAGCAGGGGCGAAGGCGACUUACUGGACUGUAACUGACACUGAGGCACGAAAGCGUGGGGAGCAAACAGGAUUAGAUACCCUUGUAGUC
Molecule: ribosomal RNA, 440 nt
Filed under: uncultured bacterium
Lineage: Bacteria
Description: partial 16S ribosomal RNA
Rfam family: Bacterial small subunit ribosomal RNA
Source: RNAcentral